RNAcentral lists this non-coding RNA (165 nucleotides) under human gut metagenome. The record is from RNAcentral.
UCCUUUUCGGGGGUAACAAUUAAAAGGGAAUCAGGUGUAAAUCCUGAACAGUCCCGCUGCUGUAAGUUUCGUUAAAAACGUGGUAAGCAAAUAACCAAUAGCCACUGAAGAAGUUCGGGAAGGCGCUUGCCAACGGAAACAAGUCAGAAGACCUGCCGGUACAUA